GGGUUGUGAGGUUAAGUGACUAAGCGUACACGGUGGAUGCCUAGGCAGUCAGAGGCGAUGAAGGGCGUGCUAAUCUGCGAAAAGCGUCGGUAAGGUGAUAUGAACCGUUAUAACCGGCGAUACCCGAAUGGGGAAACCCAGUGUGUUUCGACACACUAUCAUGUCAUGAAUACAUAGUGGCAUGAGGCGAACCGGGGGAACUGAAACAUCUAAGUACCCCGAGGAAAAGAAAUCAACC
This 238-nucleotide ribosomal RNA is filed under the name Serratia marcescens. RNAcentral describes it as "partial 23S ribosomal RNA". It matches the Rfam family "Bacterial large subunit ribosomal RNA", at positions 1 to 230 of the family's 2925-position model. Lineage: Bacteria; Pseudomonadati; Pseudomonadota; Gammaproteobacteria; Enterobacterales; Yersiniaceae. The record is from RNAcentral.